RNAcentral lists this non-coding RNA (24 nucleotides) under Cricetulus griseus (Chinese hamster). The record is from RNAcentral. Lineage: Eukaryota; Metazoa; Chordata; Mammalia; Rodentia; Cricetidae.
CACGGGACUCAGCAGUGAUAAAAA